Molecule: ribosomal RNA, 253 nt
Filed under: uncultured bacterium
Lineage: Bacteria
Description: partial 16S ribosomal RNA
Rfam family: Bacterial small subunit ribosomal RNA
Source: RNAcentral
UACGGGGGGGGCAAGCGUUGUUCGGAAUUACUGGGCGUAAAGGGCUCGUAGGCGGCCAACUAAGUCAGACGUGAAAUCCCUCGGCUUAACCGGGGAACUGCAUCUGAUACUGGAUGGCUUGAGUUCGGGAGAGGGAUGCGGAAUUCCAGGUGUAGCGGUGAAAUGCGUAGAUAUCUGGAAGAACACCCGUGGCUAAGGCGGCUCUCUAGUACGGUACUGACGCUGAGACGCGAAAGCGUGGGGAGCGAACAGG